This 200-nucleotide ribosomal RNA is filed under the name uncultured Glomus. RNAcentral describes it as "partial small subunit ribosomal RNA". It matches the Rfam family "Eukaryotic small subunit ribosomal RNA", at positions 591 to 796 of the family's 1831-position model. Lineage: Eukaryota; Fungi; Glomeromycota; Glomeromycetes; Glomerales; Glomeraceae. The record is from RNAcentral.
CCAAUAGCGUAUAUUAAAGUUGUUGCAGUUAAAAAGCUCGUAGUUGAAUUUCGGGAUCAAUAUGUCGGUCGUGCCAUCGGUACGUACUGGUAUCAUUGGUCUCUCCUUUCUGACGAACCAUGAUGUCAUUAAUUUGGUGUUAUGGGAAGUUAGGACUGUUACUUUGAAAAAAUUAGAGUGUUUAAAGCAGGCUUUGGCUU